AGCGCACACGGUGGAUGCCUUGGCGGUCAGAGGCGAUGAAGGACGUGGCAGCCUGCGAAAAGUAUCGGGGAGCUGGCAACAAGCUUUGAUCCGGUAAUGUCCGAAUGGGGAAACCCACCCGCUUGCGGGUAUCCUGCAGUGAAUACAUAGCUGCUGGAAGCGAACCUGGUGAACUGAAAUAUCUAAGUAACCAGAGGAAAAGAAAUCAACCGAGAUUCCGUAAGUAGCGACGAGCGAACGCGGACUAGCCCUUAAGCUGAUUUGGUUCUAGGAAAACGCUCUGGAAAGAGUGGCCAUAGAAGGUGAUAGCCCUGUAUCUGAAAGGGCCAUUUCAGUGAAGACGAGUAGGGCGGGGCACGUGAAACCCUGUCUGAACAUGGGGGGACCAUCCUCCAAGGCUAAAUACUACUGACCGACCGAUAGUGAACCAGUACCGUGAGGGAAAGGCGAAAAGAACCCCGGAGAGGGGAGUGAAAUAGAACCUGAAACCGUGUGCGUACAAGCAGUAGGAGCUCCGCAAGGAGUGACUGCGUACCUUUUGUAUAAUGGGUCAGCGACUUACUGUUCGUGGCAAGCUUAACCGUAUAGGGGAGGCGAAGGGAAACCGAGUCUGAUAAGGGCGCAUAGUCGCGGGCAGUAGACCCGAAACCGGGUGAUCUAGUCAUGCCCAGGGUGAAGGUGCGGUAACACGCACUGGAGGCCCGAACCCACUCCCGUUGCAAAGGUAGGGGAUGAGGUGUGAUUAGGAGUGAAAAGCUAAUCGAACCCGGAGAUAGCUGGUUCUCCUCGAAAGCUAUUUAGGUAGCGCCUCAUAUGUAUCCUCUCGGGGGUAGAGCACUGUUAUGGCUAGGGGGUCAUCGCGACUUACCAAACCAUUGCAAACUCCGAAUACCGAGACGGACUGUAUGGGAGACACACGGCGGGUGCUAACGUCCGUCGUGAAAAGGGAAACAACCCAGACCCACAGCUAAGGUCCCAAAUUCACUGCUAAGUGGAAAACCAUGUGGAAAGGCACAGACAGCCAGGAGGUUGGCUUAGAAGCAGCCACCCUUUAAAGAAAGCGUAAUAGCUCACUGGUCGAGUCGGUCUGCGGGGAAGAUUUAACGGGGCUAAGCAGUGAACCGAAGCUUGGGGUGCAUACUUUGUAUGCGCGGUAGAGGAGCGUUCCGUAAGCCGUUGAAGGUGGAUUGAGAAGUCUGCUGGAGGUAUCGGAAGUGCGAAUGCUGACAUGAGUAACGAUAAUGCGGGUGAAAAACCCGCACGCCGAAAGCCCAAGGUUUCCUUGCGCAACGUUAAUCGGCGCAGGGUGAGUCGGCCCCUAAGGCGAGGACGAAAGUCGUAGUCGAUGGGAAGCAGGUUAAUAUUCCUGCACCUCGCGUAAGUGCGAUGGAGGGACGGAGAAGGUUAGGUGUACCAGGCGUUGGUUGUCCUGGGGAAAGGCGGUAGGUUUGGAUCUUUGGCAAAUCCGGGAUCCUUUAAGACCGAGCACCGAGACGAGCCUUUAUGGCGAAGUCACUGAUACCACGCUUCCAGGAAAAGCUCCUAAGCUUCAGCUUACGCAGACCGUACCGUAAACCGACACAGGUGGGUAGGAUGAGAAUUCUCAGGCGCUUGAGAGAACUCGGGUGAAGGAACUAGGCAACAUGGCACCGUAACUUCGGGAGAAGGUGCACCCUUUUUGGUGGCUCGUGCGAGCUAUAGCUGAAGAGGGUCGCAGUAACCAGGCCGCUGCGACUGUUUAUCAAAAACACAGCACUCUGCAAACACGAAAGUGGACGUAUAGGGUGUGACGCCUGCCCGGUGCUGGAAGGUUAAUUGAUGGGGUCAGCCGCAAGGCGAAGCUCUUGAUCGAAGCCCCAGUAAACGGCGGCCGUAACUAUAACGGUCCUAAGGUAGCGAAAUUCCUUGUCGGGUAAGUUCCGACCUGCACGAAUGGCGUAACGACAGCGGCGCUGUCUCCACCCGAGACUCAGUGAAAUUGAAAUCGCUGUGAAGAUGCAGCGUUCCCGUGGCAAGACGGAAAGACCCCGUGAACCUUUACUAUAGCUUUACACUGAACGUUGAGUUCGUCUGUGUAGGAUAGGUGGGAGGCUAUGAAACUGUGGCGCUAGCUGCAGCGGAGCCAUCCUUGAAAUACCACCCUGUCGUGCUUGACGUUCUAACCUGGGCCCAUUAUCUGGGUCGGGGACCGUGUAUGGUGGGUAGUUUGACUGGGGCGGUCUCCUCCUAAAGAGUAACGGAGGAGCUCGAAGGUACGCUCAGCGCGGUCGGACAUCGCGCACUGUGUGCAAAGGCAUAAGCGUGCUUGACUGCAAGAUCGACGGAUCAAGCAGGUAGGAAACUAGGACUUAGUGAUCCGGUGGUUCUGUAUGGAAGGGCCAUCGCUCAACGGAUAAAAGGUACUCCGGGGAUAACAGGCUGAUACCGCCCAAGAGUUCAUAUCGACGGCGGUGUUUGGCACCUCGAUGUCGGCUCAUCACAUCCUGGGGCUGUAGUCGGUCCCAAGGGUAUGGCUGUUCGCCAUUUAAAGUGGUACGCGAGCUGGGUUCAGAACGUCGUGAGACAGUUCGGUCCCUAUCUGCCAUGGGCGUUGGAGAUUUGAGAGGGGCUGCUCCUAGUACGAGAGGACCGGAGUGGACGAACCUCUGGUGUUCCGGUUGUCACGCCAGUGGCAUUGCCGGGUAGCUAUGUUCGGAAGCGAUAACCGCUGAAAGCAUCUAAGCGGGAAGCGCGCCUCAAGAUGAGAUCUCCCGGGGCACAAGCCCCCUGAAGGAACCAUGUAGACUACGUGGUUGAUAGGUCAGGUGUGUAAGUACAGCAAUGUAUUGAGCUAACUGAUACUAAUGAUCCGUGCGGCUUGACC
RNAcentral lists this ribosomal RNA (2863 nucleotides) under Stenotrophomonas maltophilia. RNAcentral's name for it is "bacterial LSU rRNA". It matches the Rfam family "Bacterial large subunit ribosomal RNA". Lineage: Bacteria; Pseudomonadati; Pseudomonadota; Gammaproteobacteria; Lysobacterales; Lysobacteraceae. The record is from RNAcentral.